RNAcentral lists this ribosomal RNA (556 nucleotides) under Vishniacozyma victoriae. RNAcentral describes it as "partial large subunit ribosomal RNA". It matches the Rfam family "Eukaryotic large subunit ribosomal RNA", at positions 69 to 612 of the family's 3401-position model. Lineage: Eukaryota; Fungi; Basidiomycota; Tremellomycetes; Tremellales; Bulleribasidiaceae. The record is from RNAcentral.
CUAGGAUUCCCUUAGUAACGGCGAGUGAACCGGGAUGAGCUCAAAUUUAAAAUCUGGCGUCUUUCAGGCGUCCGAGUUGUAAUCUAUAGAGGCGUUUUCCGCGCCGGACCGCGUCCAAGUCUCUUGGAAUAGAGUAUCAAAGAGGGUGACAAUCCCGUACUUGACGCGACAACCGGUGCUCUGUGAUACGUUCUCAAUGAGUCGAGUUGUUUGGGAAUGCAGCUCUAAAUGGGUGGUAAAUUCCAUCUAAGGCUAAAUAUUGGCGAGAGACCGAUAGCGAACAAGUACCGUGAGGGAAAGAUGAAAAGCACUUUGGAAAGAGAGUUAAACAGCACGUGAAAUUGUUAAAAGGGAAACGAUUGAAGUCAGUCGUGUGAAAGGUAUUCAGCCGUCUCUGGCGGUGUAUUUGCCUUUCACGGGUCAACAUCAGUUUGAUCCGGUAGAAAAAGGCGGGAGGAAGGUGGCACCCUCGGGUGUGUUAUAGCCUCCUGUCAUAUGUGCCGGACCAGACUGAGGAACGCAGCUUGCCGCAAGGCCGGGGUUCGCCCACGUACAA